This is a non-coding RNA of Pelobates cultripes (western spadefoot toad), 221 nucleotides long. The record is from the annotation of a GenBank genome assembly. NCBI's taxonomy places the organism in Eukaryota, Metazoa, Chordata, Amphibia, Anura, Pelobatidae.
CCCUGUAGCAAGCGUGUUGAGUGCUGGUGGACAAAGCCAGUUUAGUCAGAGCCCGGCUAUGUUGGCGAGGUUCAUGUAAUCCAUGACCUUGACCAUAAAUGACCCCCUGCCAUGGCGGCUGUCACGGCAGCUGCCACAAUAAUUUACCAUUACGUGUGGUUAAGAAAGUCCACCAUAUAUGUAGGUCUGCCAUGGCUUGGUUGUCUAGGGACAGCCCCUGA